GCCUGCUUAGCUCAGUUGGUUAGAGCGUCCGUCUCAUACGCGGAUUGUCACUGGUUCAAAUCUAGUAGCAGGCAAAUCAA
This 80-nucleotide transfer RNA is filed under the name Elliptochloris subsphaerica. Its description in RNAcentral is "tRNA-Met". It matches the Rfam family "tRNA". Rfam says of the family: Transfer RNA (tRNA) molecules are approximately 80 nucleotides in length. Their secondary structure includes four short double-helical elements and three loops (D, anti-codon, and T loops). Further hydrogen bonds mediate the characteristic L-shaped molecular structure. tRNAs have two regions of fundamental functional importance: the anti-codon, which is responsible for specific mRNA codon recognition, and the 3' end, to which the tRNAs corresponding amino acid is attached (by aminoacyl-tRNA synthetases). tRNAs cope with the degeneracy of the genetic code in two manners: having more than one tRNA (with a specific anti-codon) for a particular amino acid; and 'wobble' base-pairing, i.e. permitting non-standard base-pairing at the 3rd anti-codon position. Lineage: Eukaryota; Viridiplantae; Chlorophyta; Trebouxiophyceae. The record is from RNAcentral.